RNAcentral lists this ribosomal RNA (292 nucleotides) under uncultured bacterium. Its description in RNAcentral is "partial 16S ribosomal RNA". It matches the Rfam family "Bacterial small subunit ribosomal RNA", at positions 505 to 796 of the family's 1533-position model. The record is from RNAcentral.
GUGCCAGCAGCCGCGGUAAUACGUAGGAGGCAAGCGUUGUCCGGAAUCACUGGGCGUAAAGCGCGUGUAGGUGGUACGACAAGUCUGCUGUGAAAGCGCCUGGCUUAACCGGGCGAGGUCGGCGGAAACUGUCGCACUCGAGGACGGUAGAGGGGGGUGGAAUUCCCGGUGUAGUGGUGAAAUGCGUAGAGAUCGGGAGGAACACCUGUGGCGAAGGCGGCCCCCUGGGCCGCUCCUGACACUGAGACGCGAAGGCGUGGGGAGCGAACGGGAUUAGAUACCCUAGUAGUCC